GAAAUGCGAUAUGUAGUGUGAAUUGCAGAAUUCCGUGAAUCAUCGAAUCUUUGAACGCAAACUGCGCUUGUUCCCUCGUGGAACGAGCACGUCUGUUUGAGGGUCAGUAAAACCAUCUCACCAGACCAUAUCUGGUGGACAUGAGAGUCGCGCCGACGAGGUGCGUCUCUUGAAAUGGAUGGCGGUGCCCGCCUCGUGCUUCCAGCAGCCUCCGUUGUACUUCGGCUGCUCACAUCGCCUUUCCUCCUUCGGUGAGAUAGCUGCCUUGUGCAGAACACUUCGCCGUCGGUCGGGAUCGGAGAUUGAGCAUGCUAUCCGCGUGAUGGCCAGCUUGGAUGGCACUUGAGGCCUCGUGCUGGUGCCCUACAAAAAAAGAAACUGAAUCUUCUCAUGCUUUGACCUCAAAUCAGGCGAGACUACCCGCUGAACUUAA
This 433-nucleotide unclassified non-coding RNA is filed under the name uncultured Diversispora. Its description in RNAcentral is "sequence contains ITS1". The stretch from base 1 to 106 matches the Rfam family "5.8S ribosomal RNA", at positions 50 to 154 of the family's 154-position model. Lineage: Eukaryota; Fungi; Glomeromycota; Glomeromycetes; Diversisporales; Diversisporaceae. The record is from RNAcentral.